UCAGAGGAAGGAAAGUUUCCCAUUUCUAAACCCCAAAUUUAAUAUUUUAAUUAAACUACCCUCUG
Molecule: transfer RNA, 65 nt
Filed under: Paragavialidium sichuanense
Lineage: Eukaryota; Metazoa; Arthropoda; Insecta; Orthoptera; Tetrigidae
Description: tRNA-Pro
Source: RNAcentral